Molecule: ribosomal RNA, 723 nt
Filed under: uncultured bacterium
Lineage: Bacteria
Description: bacterial SSU rRNA
Rfam family: Bacterial small subunit ribosomal RNA
Source: RNAcentral
GAACGGGUGAGUAACACGUGGGUGAUCUGCCCUGCACUUUGGGAUAAGCCUGGGAAACUGGGUCUAAUACCGAAUAGGACCACGCGCUUCAUGGUGUGUGGUGGAAAGCUUUUGCGGUGUGGGAUGGGCCCGCGGCCUAUCAGCUUGUUGGUGGGGUAAUGGCCUACCAAGGCGACGACGGGUAGCCGGCCUGAGAGGGUGACCGGCCACACUGGGACUGAGAUACGGCCCAGACUCCUACGGGAGGCAGCAGUGGGGAAUAUUGCACAAUGGGCGCAAGCCUGAUGCAGCGACGCCGCGUGAGGGAUGACGGCCUUCGGGUUGUAAACCUCUUUCAAUAGGGACGAAGCGCAAGUGACGGUACCUAUAGAAGAAGCACCGGCCAACUACGUGCCAGCAGCCGCGGUAAUACGUAGGGUGCGAGCGUUGUCCGGAAUUACUGGGCGUAAAGAGCUCGUAGGUGGUUUGUCGCGUUGCUCGUGAAAACUCACAGCUUAACUGUGGGCGUGCGGGCGAUACGGGCAGACUAGAGUACUGCAGGGGAGACUGGAAUUCCUGGUGUAGCGGUGGAAUGCGCAGAUAUCAGGAGGAACACCGGUGGCGAAGGCGGGUCUCUGGGCAGUAACUGACGCUGAGGAGCGAAAGCGUGGGGAGCGAACAGGAUUAGAUACCCUGGUAGUCCACGCCGUAAACGGUGGGUACUAGGUGUGGGUUCCUUCCUUG